AACGAACGCUGGCGGCAUGCCUAACACAUGCAAGUCGAACGAGACCUUCGGGUCUAGUGGCGCACGGGUGCGUAACGCGUGGGAACCUGCCUUUAGGUUCGGAAUAACUCAGAGAAAUUUGAGCUAAUACCGGAUGAUGUCUUCGGACCAAAGAUUUAUCGCCUUUAGAUGGGCCCGCGUUGGAUUAGCUAGUUGGUGGGGUAAAGGCCUACCAAGGCGACGAUCCAUAGCUGGUCUGAGAGGAUGAUCAGCCACACUGGGACUGAGACACGGCCCAGACUCCUACGGGAGGCAGCAGUGGGGAAUAUUGGACAAUGGGCGAAAGCCUGAUCCAUCAAUGCCGCGUGAGUGAUGAAGGCCUUAGGGUUGUAAAGCUCUUUUACCCGAGAUGAUAAUGACAGUAUCGGGAGAAUAAGCUCCGGCUAACUCCGUG
This 433-nucleotide ribosomal RNA is filed under the name uncultured bacterium. RNAcentral's name for it is "partial 16S ribosomal RNA". It matches the Rfam family "Bacterial small subunit ribosomal RNA", at positions 29 to 507 of the family's 1533-position model. The record is from RNAcentral.